Molecule: long non-coding RNA, 731 nt
Organism: Armigeres subalbatus
Lineage: Eukaryota; Metazoa; Arthropoda; Insecta; Diptera; Culicidae
Exons: 3
Source: RefSeq, a predicted model, not a curated record
AACAACAACAACACCACUUUUGAUGCAGUUGCAGUAUCCUUGUAAAAAUACCUCGUAUUUAAUCGGUGGUUAAUAAAAAACGAUAGCUUUCGGGAUAGCCGGGAUGGUUAAAAACAUUUCUGGUGAAAUUAAUUGAUUUGUGACUGAUCGCAUCAACAACGACGUCAAUGACCCCAAAGAUCAAUCACGAUGGCCGGGUGUUUAUGUCGUCUCAUUGGAUAAUGUAGUAAGUGGAGGACGAUUUCAUCAUCGCCAUCGGGCCCAACUAAAGAUCCAGCAAACAACCGAAAGCUAUACUCAUCCAAGAGAUGUUAAAAAUAAACAAUUUGUUUGUUCGAGAUGCCUGACAUCCCGGGUAUCAAAUAUGAAAUAACCGGAAUUGACGAUGAGUCUUCUGGUGAAAUGCAGGGGAUAAAUUAUCGUUUUGCUACAACAGCAGCCGGAUGGUACGGUAGACAAUCGGCAGUCCCAGUUUCGAAAAACGUGGUCUGUACAACAACAGUAGGUGCAUAAUCGAGGUCAUUCCGCAUCUCAACAACAAUAUUCCCAAGUUAAGCAUCGGACAUCUCAAUCGUGUAUCAACCGACUCAGGGGAGAAAACAUGCUUCUCGUCAUCAGAACGUUCAGGAGUCGGAAUCAACAUAUAUGGUGCUCCUCUAGUCUGACAUAAACCCACACAUGGAUUCGAUUUUUUUGACGAAAAUAAUCGACACCGCAGUGGAAACAAAAAC